This 301-nucleotide ribosomal RNA is filed under the name uncultured bacterium. RNAcentral describes it as "partial 16S ribosomal RNA". It matches the Rfam family "Bacterial small subunit ribosomal RNA", at positions 509 to 807 of the family's 1533-position model. The record is from RNAcentral.
CAGUAGCCGCGGUAAUACGAAGGGUGCAAGCGUUACUCGGAAUUACUGGGCGUAAAGCGUGUGUAGGUGGUUGUUUAAGUCUGUCGUGAAAGCCCUGGGCUCAACCUGGGAAUUGCGAUGGAUACUGGGCGACUAGAGUGCGGUAGAGGAUAGUGGAAUUUCCGGUGUAGCAGUGAAAUGCGUAGAGAUCGGAAGGAACAUCUGUGGCGAAGGCGACUAUCUGGGCCAACACUGACACUGAGACACGAAAGCGUGGGGAGCAAACAGGAUUAGAUACCCCCGUAGUCCCUGUCUCUUAUAC